RNAcentral lists this transfer RNA (105 nucleotides) under Hypoxylon crocopeplum. Its description in RNAcentral is "tRNA-Met". It matches the Rfam family "tRNA". From Rfam's summary of the family: Transfer RNA (tRNA) molecules are approximately 80 nucleotides in length. Their secondary structure includes four short double-helical elements and three loops (D, anti-codon, and T loops). Further hydrogen bonds mediate the characteristic L-shaped molecular structure. tRNAs have two regions of fundamental functional importance: the anti-codon, which is responsible for specific mRNA codon recognition, and the 3' end, to which the tRNAs corresponding amino acid is attached (by aminoacyl-tRNA synthetases). tRNAs cope with the degeneracy of the genetic code in two manners: having more than one tRNA (with a specific anti-codon) for a particular amino acid; and 'wobble' base-pairing, i.e. permitting non-standard base-pairing at the 3rd anti-codon position. Lineage: Eukaryota; Fungi; Ascomycota; Sordariomycetes; Xylariales; Hypoxylaceae. The record is from RNAcentral.
GUCUUCGUGGCUCAGUUGGCUAGAGCGUUGGUCUCAUAUUCGUAUGAUUCAACCCCCCAGGGUUGGGAUAUCCAAAGGUCGUGAGUUCGAGCCUCACCGAGGACA